UUAAAAUUCCACUUUGUACUGUAGUCAGGGAAGUAUAUGAUUAAGAGCAAAGAUCUUUUCUUCUCAAUCCUGUUACUUGGAAUUUUUGUAUAAUUUUGAAAGAAAGCUAGCAUACCUUUUUAUCCUCAUAGGUUCUCUCAGAUCACUCAUUAUCUUUUAUAUAUCUCACUGAGGCUGUUUUAAUUUGCAAAAAUUCUCAAGCAUACUUACUUUGCAUUUGUUGCCUGAUCAAAACGGGAUCCGAGGAGGGGAAUGUCAUACUCUUAGAUCAAAGACCUUGGAAAUUAAAAUCUUUAUCAACUCUUGGUGGCAUAUUGCUUAUUAGAGGGACCAUGGGCUAUCAUUUUCUCUUUUUUCUCUUUUUUUAAGUGGAUACCGAGGUACCCCUAAUUCUACUACCGGACACUUGUCCAUUUUUUUCUGCGAGGUUGUCGAGCAGUUGCUCCUUUUUAGUUCCUCGAAAUAUCUCUAUUUUUGCAUAGCCCAUGCCUCUAAUGCAAUAAUACUUCGGAAGAGUGAAUCUUUCUGAACAAAUGUCUUGAUCUUAGGAGCAUGAUAAAUCUCUCAAUAAGGGUCUAACUCAUUUUGAACAAACUCAAUACAGAGUAGAUAGCUAUUAUAAUCAUAAUUAAUAUUUUUAGUUUUAUCAGGCAUAUAAAACACUGAGGAUGGUAGCUAGAAUUUUAAAUAUUUUGAAAUAAAUUCUCCAAGUAGCAAUGAUAUCAAGAAUAAGAAACUCGUACUCUACCAUCUCACAUUCCAUAUUGACUUAAGUAACACAGGGUUUUAAAAUGAUUUUUUAAUAAUUGCAAGUUUUCAGGAAAUAUCACAGAUUGAGAUUAAUCAUGAUUAGAAAUGUUUUAAUCUUUUUAUCAUGUCGGAAACAGUAUUCUGCAUAAUCCAAAAAAUAUGUAUGUGUAAAGUAAAGUGUGCAGAGUGUGUACCUGAAUCGUGGAGUGGUGUGGUUGGAGUGUGUUUAGCAUGUUGAGGGAUGUCCCCCAUACUUGUUUUCUGCUUUCUUGCACAAAAAUAAAGUAGAGACACACAAGACAUAAUAAUAAUAAUACUCUUUAUUAAUCUUGAGGCAUUUAUUACAAAAGACUAGUAGC
This 1109-nucleotide long non-coding RNA is filed under the name Sorghum bicolor (sorghum). Its description in RNAcentral is "long non-coding RNA (SBIC_LNC015863)". The record is from RNAcentral. Lineage: Eukaryota; Viridiplantae; Streptophyta; Magnoliopsida; Poales; Poaceae.